UACGGAGGGUGCGAGCGUUGUCCGGAAUCAUUGGGCGUAAAGGGCGCGUAGGCGGCGCGGAAAGUCAACGGUGAAAGCUUGGGGCUCAACCCCGAGUCGGCCGUCGAUACUUCCGUGCUCGAGCACUGUAGAGGCAGGUGGAAUUCCGGGUGUAGCGGUGGAAUGCGUAGAGAUCCGGAAGAACACCGGUGGCGAAGGCGGCCUGCUGGGCAGUAGCUGACGCUGAUGCGCGACAGCGUGGGGAGCAAACAGG
RNAcentral lists this ribosomal RNA (253 nucleotides) under uncultured bacterium. RNAcentral describes it as "partial 16S ribosomal RNA". It matches the Rfam family "Bacterial small subunit ribosomal RNA", at positions 524 to 776 of the family's 1533-position model. The record is from RNAcentral.